AAAAAAUUAUGAUAUUCUAAAUAAUUCUCUAUCACUUUAAUAGGUUAUUCAGAUAUUGAUUUUACUAGAUGCAAUUAGAUCGAAAGAGUACAAGUGGAACUUAUCAAUUUUUAUAUAUAAAUUUGAUCUCAUGGUUUAGUAAGAAAUAAAAUUUGGUGGCAUUAUCAAUGGUGAAAGCCAAAUACAUUACAAUGAAAGUCAUGUUACUCAAUCUUAUGAUCA
Molecule: long non-coding RNA, 222 nt
Filed under: Elaeis guineensis (African oil palm)
Lineage: Eukaryota; Viridiplantae; Streptophyta; Magnoliopsida; Arecales; Arecaceae
Description: long non-coding RNA (EGUI_LNC041932)
Source: RNAcentral